CUGCGGAUUCAUAUAUUUAUAUAGAUAUCGUAUGCAGUUUGAGACUUAAAGUUCAAAUCUAAUAUGUUAACUUAAAAGAAUCAGCAUUCUACUUUAUAGCGGGAGGUUAAGUUGGACCGAUUUACAUUUGACAUGGCGGGAGAUCGAGUUAGCCCAAGUCAUGUUCGAAGUGACAUGGUGCUAAUUAAGUCAAGUCACAAUUGAGGUCUGUACAUAUGCAUUGUGUCUGUAUGCUUUAAAUGAAUUGAUUGUGUACGUAUUUCUAACAGUUCGAGCUUUUAGAACUAAUAAUUAGUGUCAAUGAUUCGACAAAUGGUGUCAGAGUCAGAGGUCACGGAUUUGAUUUCCGCAUAUAAUAUGGUAGGAGGUGGGGUAGGGCCGAGUUAUGUUCAAAGUUGCGUGAGUCUAAUUAUACCGAGUUACAAUCGAGAUCUGUGAGCGUUGUGACUGUACACUUUAAAUUAUAUAUAU
This 471-nucleotide long non-coding RNA is filed under the name Ananas comosus (pineapple). RNAcentral describes it as "long non-coding RNA (ACOM_LNC000408)". Lineage: Eukaryota; Viridiplantae; Streptophyta; Magnoliopsida; Poales; Bromeliaceae. The record is from RNAcentral.